UGUAAACAUCCUACACUCAGCUAUAGCCUGUAUGGAAGGCUGGGGAGAGGGUGUUUACUUU
Molecule: microRNA precursor, 61 nt
Organism: Hucho hucho (huchen)
Lineage: Eukaryota; Metazoa; Chordata; Actinopteri; Salmoniformes; Salmonidae
Source: Ensembl